GACGAACGCUGGCGGCGUGCCUAAUACAUGCAAGUCGAACGCUUCUUUCCUCCCGAGUGCUUGCACUCAAUUGGAAAGAGGAGUGGCGGACGGGUGAGUAACACGUGGGUAACCUACCCAUCAGAGGGGGAUAACACUUGGAAACAGGUGCUAAUACCGCAUAACAGUUUAUGCCGCAUGGCAUAAGAGUGAAAGGCGCUUUCGGGUGUCGCUGAUGGAUGGACCCGCGGUGCAUUAGCUAGUUGGUGAGGUAACGGCUCACCAAGGCCACGAUGCAUAGCCGACCUGAGAGGGUGGUCGGCCACACUGGGACUGAGACACGGCCCAGACUACUACGGGAGGCAGCAGUAGGGAAUCUUCGGCAAUGGACGAAAGUAUGACCGAGCAACGCCGCGUGAGUGAAGAAGGUUUUCGGAUCGUAAAACUCUGUUGUGAGAGAAGAACAAGGACGUUAGUAACUGAACGUCCCCUGACGGUAUCUAACCAGAAAGCCACGGCUAACUACGUG
RNAcentral lists this ribosomal RNA (508 nucleotides) under uncultured bacterium. RNAcentral describes it as "partial 16S ribosomal RNA". It matches the Rfam family "Bacterial small subunit ribosomal RNA", at positions 28 to 507 of the family's 1533-position model. The record is from RNAcentral.